RNAcentral lists this long non-coding RNA (1990 nucleotides) under Homo sapiens (human). Its description in RNAcentral is "HSALNT0196159". The record is from RNAcentral. Lineage: Eukaryota; Metazoa; Chordata; Mammalia; Primates; Hominidae.
CAGUUGCAUAACUAUGACCUCAAUCAAGAUACAGGACAAUUCCAUUACCCCAAAAUGUAAUCACCACAAAUCCACCCUCGCUGUGCACCUUUGUCCUCAAUCCACCCUCAUCCCAACCCCUGGCAACCACUGAUCUAUUUUCUUUCCUUACAGCUUUGCCUUUUCUAGAAUGUCAUAUAAAUGAAUCAAGCAGUAUGUAGCCUUUUCAGUCUUGCUUCAUUCACCCAACAAAAUACAUUUGAGGCCGGGUGUGGUGGCUCACGCCUGUAAUCCCAGCACUUUGGGAGGCGGAGGUGGGCAGAUCACCUGAAGUCAGGAAUUCAAAAACCAGUCUGGCCAACAUGGCAAAACCCCAUCUCUACUAAAAAUACAAAAAUUAGCUGGGUAUGGUGGCACGCAUCUGUAGUCCCAGUGACUCAGGAGGCUGACGCAUGAGAAUCGCUGGAACCCAGGAUGUGGAGGCUGCAGUGAGCCAAGAUUGCACCACUGCACUCCAGCCUGGGAGACAGAGAGAGACCCUGUCUCAAAAAAAAAAAAAAAAAAUUGAGAUUCAUCCACGUUGAUGCUUGCAUCCAGACUUUACUUUCUUGUUUUUCUUUUCUUUUCUUUUUUUUUUAGACAAGGUCUCACUCAUUCUGUUACCUAGGCUGGAAUGCAGUGGGACUACAGGCACACACCAACAUGACUGGCUAAAUUGUUUUUUUUGAGACGAAUUCUCACUCUGUCACCUAGGCUAGAGUGCAGUGGUGUGAUCUUGGCUCACUGCAACCUCCACCUCCCAGGUUCAAGUGAUUCUCCUGCCUCAGCUUCCCGAGUAGCUGGGAUUACAGGUGCACAUCACCAUGCCUGGCUAAUUUUUGUAUUUUUAAUAGAGACAGGGUUUUGCCAUGUUGGCUCGGCUGGUCUCUAACUCCUGACCUCAAGUGGUCCGCCUGCCUCGGCCUCCCAAAGGGAGGGACCCCUGGGAUUACAGGUGUCAGCCACCGUGCCCGACACCACUGGCUAAAUUUUUGUUUGUUUGUUUGUAGAGUCAAGGUUUUGCUAUGUUGCCCAGGCUGGUCUUGAACUCCUGGCUUCAAGAAAUUCUCCCACCUUGGCCUCCCAAUAUGUUGGCAUUAUAGGUGUGAGCCACAGUGCCCCGCCCAAACUUUGUUUCUCUCUAUUGCUGAGCAGUGUUUCAUUGUAUGCUUGUGCCAGAGUUUAAUACUGCUCAUUGGCCAGGCACAGUGGCUCAUGCUUAUAAUGCCAGCACUUUCAGAGGCUGAGGCAGGAGGAUCACUUGAGCCCAGGAGGUCAAGGCUGCAAUGAUCACUUCACUGCACUCCAGCCUGGGUGACACAGCGAGACCCUGUUCCCAAAAAAAUGAAAACCCAAACAAACAACACUGCUUAGUUGCUUUCUGUAAUCAGCCUAUUAACAAAUCAAGGGAGAAUGAGUCUUGGUUACAAAACAGAAUACAAAUGUGAAGGGUUAGAGAACAGAAGCUGGGCAAUACACUUCCUCAUCUUUUUUUGUUUUGUUUUGUUUUGUUUUUUGAGACGGAGUCUUGCACUGUUGCCCAGGCUGGAGUGCAGUGGCGCGAUCUCGGCUCACUGGCCUCAAGUGAUCCUCCCGUCUCAGCCUCCCAAAGUGCUGGGGUUACAGGUGUGAGUCAACACACCCAGCCCUUUGCCUGUCUAUUUCUUUCUUUUUUCUUUUUUUUUUUUUUUUUGAGAUGGAGUCUUGCUCUGUCCCCCAAGCUGGAGUGCAGUGGCAAAAUCUUGGCUCACUGCAGCCUCUGCCUCCCAGGAUCACCUGAGGCCAGGAGUUCGAGACCAGCCUGGCCAACAUGGUAAGACCCCCAUCUCUACUAAAAAUACAAAAAUGAGCCGAGUGUGGUGGCACAUGCCUGUAAUCCCAGCUACUCAGGAGGCUGAGGCACCAGAAUAGCUUGAACUUGGGAGGUGGAGGUUGCAGUAAGCUGAGAUCGUGCCACUGCGCUCCAGCCUGG